This 1021-nucleotide ribosomal RNA is filed under the name Sphingobacteriales bacterium. RNAcentral's name for it is "partial 23S ribosomal RNA". It matches the Rfam family "Bacterial large subunit ribosomal RNA", at positions 1003 to 2028 of the family's 2925-position model. The record is from RNAcentral. Lineage: Bacteria; Pseudomonadati; Bacteroidota; Sphingobacteriia; Sphingobacteriales.
GUCCGUGGCCGAGAGGGAAAUAACCCAGACUACCAUCUAAGGUCCCUAAAUCUAUGUUAAGUUGAUCAAACGAAGUUCGAACCCUAAGACAGCCAGGAUGUUGGCUUGGAAGCAGCCAUUCAUUUAAAGAGUGCGUAACAGCUCACUGGUCGAGGGUUCGGGCACGGAAAAUAAUCGGGCAUCAAACAUAGUACCGAAGUUGUAGAUAAAGCCGUAAGGCUAUAUGGUAGGGGAGCAUUCUAAACUGCGUUGAAGGUGUACCGUGAGGUAUGCUGGAGUGUUUAGAAAAGAAAAUGUAGGUAUGAGUAACGAUAAAAGCAGUGAAAAACUGCUUCGCCGAAAGACUAAGGGUUCCUGAUCAACGUUAAUCGGAUCAGGGUUAGUCGGGACCUAAGGCAAACCCGAAAGGGGUAGUCGAUGGAAAGCUGUUUAAUAUUACAGCACUUGUAUUAGUUUCGAUGGGGUGACGGAGAAGUGAAAGAUCCGCGGGGCAACGGAAGUUCCCGUUAAAGGGUGUAGUUAUAUUCCUGGUAGGCAAAUCCGCCGGGAAUGAUGAACCUGAUAGUACUCAAAGGCUUCGGCCGGCGAGAUAGUGAUCCUAAACAUGCUCACGAGAAAAACCUCUAAGGUUAGGCUAAUACAACCCGUACCGUAAACCGACACAGGUAGUCGAGAUGAGUAUUCUAAGGCGCUCGGGUGAGCCGUGGAGAAGGAACUAGGCAAAUUAAUGCUGUAACUUCGGGAUAAAGCAUACCACAGCAAUGUGGUCUCAGUAAAAUGGUUCAACCAACUGUUUAGCAAAAACACAGGGCCCUGCAAAUUCGAAAGAAGACGUAUAGAGCCUGAUACCUGCCCGGUGCUGGAAGGUUAAGGAAGCUUGUCAGGAGUAAUCUGAAGCUUGCGACUGAAGCCCCAGUAAACGGCGGCCGUAACUAUAACGGUCCUAAGGUAGCGAAAUUCCUUGUCGGGUAAGUUCCGACCUGCACGAAUGGUCUAAUGAGUUGAACACUGUCUCCUCCAC